RNAcentral lists this long non-coding RNA (241 nucleotides) under Coccomyxa subellipsoidea. RNAcentral's name for it is "long non-coding RNA (CSUB_LNC000286)". Lineage: Eukaryota; Viridiplantae; Chlorophyta; Trebouxiophyceae; Coccomyxaceae. The record is from RNAcentral.
AAAAGUGAAAAAACGUGUGAAAUUGAUGCUGUGUUGCUGUCGCAUCUGACGACACUAGGCAUCCUGAAGGAUCUGCAGUACAGGUUCUAAUUGAAAUCUAGUCGGCUGCCAAAGCCCCCAACCUGAAGCACAAGGCUUUUUUAGGAAUUGUGAGAUUUCGUGGAAUGGCUACUUCCGCAUUCCCGAUCGGUGGUGUUGGCGCAACUCUCAAUGCUGAUGAUGUCCUUCAGAUCGCAGCAGG